RNAcentral lists this ribosomal RNA (610 nucleotides) under Chryseobacterium sp. PDD-48b-4. RNAcentral's name for it is "bacterial SSU rRNA". It matches the Rfam family "Bacterial small subunit ribosomal RNA", at positions 832 to 1447 of the family's 1533-position model. Lineage: Bacteria; Pseudomonadati; Bacteroidota; Flavobacteriia; Flavobacteriales; Weeksellaceae. The record is from RNAcentral.
UUUAUGAUUCAGAGACUAAGCGAAAGUGAUAAGUUAGCCACCUGGGGAGUACGUUCGCAAGAAUGAAACUCAAAGGAAUUGACGGGGGCCCGCACAAGCGGUGGAUUAUGUGGUUUAAUUCGAUGAUACGCGAGGAACCUUACCAAGGCUUAAAUGGGAAUUGACAGGCUUAGAAAUAGGCUUUUCUUCGGACAAUUUUCAAGGUGCUGCAUGGUUGUCGUCAGCUCGUGCCGUGAGGUGUUAGGUUAAGUCCUGCAACGAGCGCAACCCCUGUCACUAGUUGCCAUCAUUCAGUUGGGGACUCUAGUGAGACUGCCUACGCAAGUAGAGAGGAAGGUGGGGAUGACGUCAAAUCAUCACGGCCCUUACGCCUUGGGCCACACACGUAAUACAAUGGCCAGUACAGAGGGCAGCUACACAGCGAUGUGAUGCAAAUCUCGAAAGCUGGUCUCAGUUCGGAUUGGAGUCUGCAACUCGACUCUAUGAAGCUGGAAUCGCUAGUAAUCGCGCAUCAGCCAUGGCGCGGUGAAUACGUUCCCGGGCCUUGUACACACCGCCCGUCAAGCCAUGGAAGUCUGGGGUACCUGAUAGUCUGGUGACCGUAACAGGA